Molecule: ribosomal RNA, 253 nt
Filed under: uncultured bacterium
Lineage: Bacteria
Description: partial 16S ribosomal RNA
Rfam family: Bacterial small subunit ribosomal RNA
Source: RNAcentral
GACGUAGGGAGCUAGCGUUGUUCGGAAUCACUGGGCGUAAAGCGCACGUAGGCGGAUGUGUCAGUCAGGGGUGAAAUCCCGGAGCUCAACUUCGGAACUGCCCUUGAUACAGCACGUCUUGAGUCCGGAAGAGGUGGGUGGAAUUCCUAGUGUAGAGGUGAAAUUCGUAGAUAUUAGGAAGAACACCGGUGGCGAAGGCGGCCCACUGGUCCGGUACUGACGCUGAGGUGCGAAAGCGUGGGGAGCAAACAGG